GUGCUUAACACAUGCAAGUCGCGUGCGCAGUUGCCGUAGCAAUACGGUGAUGGGCGCACGGCGCACGGGUGCGUAACACGUGGGCAAUCUGCCCUCCGAUGGGGAAUAACCCCGCGAAAGCGGGGCUAAUUCCGCAUAACAUUCCUUGGACUUAGGUCUGAGGAUUCAAAGCAGCAAUGCGUCGGAGGAGGAGCCCGCGCCCGAUUAGCUAGUUGGUGAGGUAACGGCUCACCAAGGCAAUGAUCGGUAGCUGGUCUGAGAGGAUGAUCAGCCACACUGGAACUGAGACACGGUCCAG
This 298-nucleotide ribosomal RNA is filed under the name uncultured bacterium. RNAcentral describes it as "partial 16S ribosomal RNA". It matches the Rfam family "Bacterial small subunit ribosomal RNA", at positions 44 to 334 of the family's 1533-position model. The record is from RNAcentral.